Molecule: ribosomal RNA, 412 nt
Filed under: uncultured bacterium
Lineage: Bacteria
Description: bacterial SSU rRNA
Rfam family: Bacterial small subunit ribosomal RNA
Source: RNAcentral
UAGGGAAUUUUCGGCAAUGGGGGGAACCCUGACCGAGCAACGCCGCGUGAACGAAGAAGUUAUUCGUAAUGUAAAGUUCUUUUAUCAGGGAAGAAAAGAAGAGGAUUGACGGUACCUGAUGAAUAAGCUCCGGCUAACUACGUGCCAGCAGCCGCGGUAAUACGUAGGGAGCGAGCGUUAUCCGGAAUUAUUGGGCGUAAAGGGUGCGUAGAUGGCAAUUUAAGUUUCUUGUAAAAAUGCUAGGCUCAACCUAGUAGGGCAAGAGAUACUGAAUAGCUAGAGUAUGACAGAGGCAAGUGGAACUACAUGUGUAGCGGUAAAAUGCGUAAAUAUAUGUAAGAACACCGGUGGCGAAGGCGGCUUGCUGGGUCGAUACUGACAUUGAGGCACGAAAGCGUGGGGAGCAAACAGG